This 428-nucleotide ribosomal RNA is filed under the name uncultured archaeon. RNAcentral describes it as "bacterial SSU rRNA". It matches the Rfam family "Archaeal small subunit ribosomal RNA", at positions 474 to 903 of the family's 1478-position model. The record is from RNAcentral.
CACCAGCCCCUCGAGUGGUGGGGAUGAUUAUUUGGCCUAAAGCGUCCGUAGCCGGUCGGGUAAGUUUCCCGUUAAAUCCAAUGUCUCAAGCAUUGGACUGCGGGAAAUACUGCCUGGCUAGAGAGUGGGAGAGGUGUACGGUAUUCUGGGGGUAGGGGCGAAAUCCUUUGAUCCCCGGAGGACCACCAGUGGCGAAGGCUGUACACUAGAACACGUCUGACGGUCAGGGACGAAAGCUGGGGUAGCGAACCGGAUUAGAUACCCGGGUAGUCCCAGCUGUAAACGAUGCAUGCUAGGUGUUGGGUUGGCCACGAGCCACCCCAGUGCCGCAGGGAAGCCGUUAAGCAUGCCGCCUGGGAAGUACGAUCGCAAGAUUGAAACUUAAAGGAAUUGGCGGGGAGCACCACCAGGCGUGAAGCCUGCGGUUU